UUACACUCUCGCGGUACAUUGACGUUAUCAACCUGUCAGCGCAGCAAGAAGUCGAACACACGUAUUUGCGGGCGCGCGCCUCCGUCCUCGUGAGUUCAAAGUGGAUUUUAACCGUUUACCUCAGACGACAGUUUUCAUUUCUAUGGCAUAUUCUAAGGCCAUUUUCUUGUUGUGUUUUGAUGUUUUCCAUUGGCUGAAGACUAAGAUGAGCCUGAAGAGGAGAUUUGGGAAGUCUUUGCUUUGCCAGAUCACCUGUGGUCGAGAUGUUUUCUAACAAGAUGCCUUGUUGGUCUGGGCGAGUUUGAAGUCUCUCAUAGACAGUCCAGAAGGUCUGGAGUCCAUCUUAGCUUUUAUUGAUGCUGUCAUCAGGUUUUAAGUACAGUAUGAGCCAGAAUGGAAGGGUGUUGGUGGCCAUAAGACAGUGAGCUAAACCUACAACAAAAUUCAUAUUUGCAGUUUUCCUGGAAUAUUUGUUUCUAUUCAGAUGAAUAAAAUUACUUUUAAAUAUUAUUUUGUUUUCAUAUUUUAUGUUUUUAUUCUGUAUUUGGAAUAUUCCACUUCUGCACUACUAACUGGAAACCUAACUGUUGGAAAGAAAGAUCAAUUU
This is a long non-coding RNA of Paramisgurnus dabryanus, 607 nucleotides long. RefSeq lists it as uncharacterized. NCBI's taxonomy places the organism in Eukaryota, Metazoa, Chordata, Actinopteri, Cypriniformes, Cobitidae. The record is from RefSeq and is a predicted model, not a curated record.